GAUGAACGCUAGCGGCAGGCUUAACACAUGCAAGUCGAGGGGUAUAGUAGCAAUACUAGAGACCGGCGCACGGGUGCGUAACGCGUAUGCAACCUACCUUUAACAGGUGAAUAGCCCCGAGAAAUCGGGAUUAAUACACCGUAACAUUGCGAGAUGGCAUCAUUUUGCAAUUAAAGAUUUAUCGGUUAAAGAUGGGCAUGCGUGACAUUAGCUAGUUGGUGAGGUAACGGCUCACCAAGGCAACGAUGUCUAGGGGUCCUGAGAGGGUUAUCCCCCACACUGGUACUGAGACACGGACCAGACUCCUACGGGUGGCAG
This 318-nucleotide ribosomal RNA is filed under the name uncultured Bacteroidota bacterium. Its description in RNAcentral is "bacterial SSU rRNA". It matches the Rfam family "Bacterial small subunit ribosomal RNA", at positions 28 to 351 of the family's 1533-position model. The record is from RNAcentral. Lineage: Bacteria; Pseudomonadati; Bacteroidota.